UUUGGAAUUUUGGACAAUGGACGAAAGUCUGAUCCAGCGACGCCGCGUGCACGAAGAAGGCCUUCGGGUUGUAAAGUGCUUUUGCAGGGAACGAAUUUUUGACGGUACCCUGAGAAUAAGAGGUUGCUAACUCUGUGCCAGCAGCAGCGGUAAUACAGAGACCUCAAGCGUUAUCCGGAAUCAUUGGGCGUAAAGCGUACCGAUAGGUGGUUUAUUAAGUUUUGGGUAAAAGCCAGAAGCUCAACUUCUGCGUUUGCUCAAGAUACUGAUAGACUAGAGGGACAAAGAGGUUGCUGGAACGAACGGUGUAGUAGUGAAAUGCGUUGAUAUCGUUCGGAACACCGAAAGCGAAGGCAGGCAACUGGGUGUCACCUGACACUGCUAGGACGAAAGCGUGGGGAGCGAAUGGGAUUAGAUACCCCCGUAGUCC
RNAcentral lists this ribosomal RNA (430 nucleotides) under uncultured bacterium. Its description in RNAcentral is "bacterial SSU rRNA". It matches the Rfam family "Bacterial small subunit ribosomal RNA", at positions 355 to 796 of the family's 1533-position model. The record is from RNAcentral.